AUGUUUAAUGGAAAGACAGGAGGUUGGUCCUCCCCUCAAUAAGUAUGGAAGAGGUGCUACUGGCCUUUGCACCAUGCACACGGAGAAGUUAUUGCCACCUCUUCUGUGGCUUUUUUUUUCAUUUUUAG
Small nuclear RNA from Vombatus ursinus (common wombat), 128 nucleotides. The record is from Ensembl. Lineage: Eukaryota; Metazoa; Chordata; Mammalia; Diprotodontia; Vombatidae.